CGCGCAGGCGGUUUUGUAAGUCAGAUGUGAAAGCCCUGGGCUCAACCCGGGAAGUGCACCUGAUACUGCAAGACUUGAGUAUGGGAGAGGGAAGUGGAAUUCCUGGUGUAGAGGUGAAAUUCGUAGAUAUCAGGAGGAACAUCGGUGGCGAAGGCGACUUCCUGGACCAAUACUGACGCUGAGGCGCGAAGGCGUGGGGAGCAAACA
This 207-nucleotide ribosomal RNA is filed under the name uncultured delta proteobacterium. Its description in RNAcentral is "partial 16S ribosomal RNA". It matches the Rfam family "Bacterial small subunit ribosomal RNA", at positions 568 to 774 of the family's 1533-position model. The record is from RNAcentral. Lineage: Bacteria; Deltaproteobacteria.